GGCGGCGUAGCUCAGCUGGUUAGAGCGCAGGACUCAUAAGCCUGAGGUCAGAGGUUCAAGUCCUCUCGCCGCUACCA
Molecule: transfer RNA, 77 nt
Filed under: Candidatus Saccharimonadota bacterium
Lineage: Bacteria; Candidatus Saccharimonadota
Description: tRNA-Met
Rfam family: tRNA
About the family: Transfer RNA (tRNA) molecules are approximately 80 nucleotides in length. Their secondary structure includes four short double-helical elements and three loops (D, anti-codon, and T loops). Further hydrogen bonds mediate the characteristic L-shaped molecular structure. tRNAs have two regions of fundamental functional importance: the anti-codon, which is responsible for specific mRNA codon recognition, and the 3' end, to which the tRNAs corresponding amino acid is attached (by aminoacyl-tRNA synthetases). tRNAs cope with the degeneracy of the genetic code in two manners: having more than one tRNA (with a specific anti-codon) for a particular amino acid; and 'wobble' base-pairing, i.e. permitting non-standard base-pairing at the 3rd anti-codon position.
Source: RNAcentral